GACGAACGCUGGCGGCGUGCUUAACACAUGCAAGUCGAACGGAAAGGCCUGCUUUCCCUUGUGGAUUGCGGGUACUCGAGUGGCGAACGGGUGUGUAACACGUGAGUGAUCUGCCCCCAACUUGGGUAUAAGCCUGGGAAACUGGGUCUAAUUCCCGAUAGGACUGCAGGGUGGUGCCUGUGGUGGAAAACGAUUUUCUAGUGGUUGGGGAUGAGCUCGCGGCCUAUCAGCUUGUUGGUGGGGUAAUGGCCUACCAAGGCGGCGACGGGUAGCCGGCCUGGGAGGGUGGACGGCCACAGUGGGACGGCGACACGGCCCAGACUCCUACGGGAGGCAGCAGUGGGGAAGAUUGCGCGAUGGGCGGAAGCCUGAUGCAGCGACGCCGCGUGGGGGAUGACGGCCGUCGGGUGGUAAACUCCUUUCGACCGCGAGGAAGCCACCUGGUUGGAAGGGUGGUGACGGUAGUGGUAGAAGAAGCACCGGCUAACUACGUG
Molecule: ribosomal RNA, 494 nt
Filed under: uncultured bacterium
Lineage: Bacteria
Description: partial 16S ribosomal RNA
Rfam family: Bacterial small subunit ribosomal RNA
Source: RNAcentral